This 447-nucleotide ribosomal RNA is filed under the name uncultured bacterium. RNAcentral describes it as "bacterial SSU rRNA". It matches the Rfam family "Bacterial small subunit ribosomal RNA", at positions 355 to 825 of the family's 1533-position model. The record is from RNAcentral.
UCGGGAAUUUUGGGCAAUGGGCGAAAGCCUGACCCAGCAACGCCGCGUGAAGGAUGAAGUAUUUCGGUAUGUAAACUUCGUAAGAAUAGGAAGAAUAAAUGACGGUACUAUUUGUAAGGUCCGGCUAACUACGUGCCAGCAGCCGCGGUAAUACGUAGGGACCAAGCGUUGUUCGGAUUUACUGGGCGUAAAGGGCGCGUAGGCGGCGUGGUAAGUCAUCUGUGAAAUCUCCGAGCUUAACUCGGAACGGUCAGAUGAUACUGCUGUGCUAGAGUACAGAAAGGGCAAUCGGAAUUCUUGGUGUAGCGGUGAAAUGCGUAGAUAUCAAGAGGAACACCUGAGGCGAAGGCGGGUUGCUAGGCUGAUACUGACGCUGAGGCACGAAAGUGCGGGGAUCAAACAGGAUUAGAUACCCCCGUAGUCCCUGAGCGGGCUGGCAAGGCGCAU